RNAcentral lists this long non-coding RNA (22034 nucleotides) under Capsicum annuum. RNAcentral describes it as "long non-coding RNA (CANN_LNC015720)". Lineage: Eukaryota; Viridiplantae; Streptophyta; Magnoliopsida; Solanales; Solanaceae. The record is from RNAcentral.
UUUUUUGUGUUUUUAUGCUUCUAUAAUGUUUUUAAUUUUUUCACAUAAGCAUAACAAAUUAAAAAAUAACUCAAAUUCUAUGGAAAUCUACAUAAAUAGAAAAAUAAAACAAAAGUAGCACUAUAAAAAUAAAAUAAGCUAUUACAAAUUUGGAUGCCUCCUUAUUAGUGUUAAGCUUAACAUUGUAGCAUGAUGUAUGUAUCAAAUUGGUAUCCUUAUUUAUAUGUGGUGUAAUAUCGCAACAUGAUGCAUGUAUCAAACGACUCGAGAUUCUCUCAAAACUUCCACCCAUUAUGAGUCAAUGUCUUAUUUUUCUCUAAUUUGUUCAUCUUGAUAAAUAGCCUUUUCUCUCCAUCUCACCAUUCUUUAUGCCACAUAAUCACUAUCCCAUGAUUUUACAACUCUUUGAGCACUUCUCUUUCUUAUCGUUAUAUAAAUCCAUAGUAAUUUUUAUGAACUCGGUGUUUGCUUCCUUUGUGCUAGAUUUCAACAGCUCUUUCUUCUCAACCUUAUUUUCCAACCAUGCUCUUUAACAUCGAUUUCUUGGUAUUUAGAUUUCUCUAAACCUGCAUAUAUAGAGAAAUAAAAAAAAGUUAUGUUAUAAAAACAAAAUUAAAUAAGCUAUUACAAAUUAGGAUGAUUCCUUAUUAGCGCCUAGUAUAACAUCACAGCAUGAUGCAUAUUUCAAAUCAUCUCAAGAUUCUCUUCAACAAUUCUUGCCAUUGUGUGUCAAUGUCUUUUUAUUUUUCGUUCCAAGUGGUUUAACUUGAUAAACUAUCAUUUUCUCUCUAUCUCACCAUUAUUUAUGCCACACAAUCAUUAUCUCAUGCUUUCACAAUACUUUAAGCACUCCCCUUUUUUUUGACAAAUCAGUAGUAAUAUUUAAGAGAUCAAUGUUUGUUUUCUCAUUGACAAUUCACAAGCUUACUCUUCUACACCCAUUCUUAUCUUCUUUUACUUCAUUUAUCAGGCACAAGUCCCUAUAAUGUGAAGUCUUAAGGAAUUAUUUGUAUACUUUGUAAGUAACCUCUUUAUCGUGCACUCACAUUUUUAGCUUACCCUCUUUCACAUUGAUGAAUGCUUUACUAAUGGUAAAAAUAGGCAUUCUAAAAUGAUUGGCAUCUUGUCGUCUACUUCAAAAUCAAGAAUUAUAAAAUCAAUAGAGUUAUGAACUAACAAACUCUAAUGAGAAAAUCUUCAAUGAUUUCUUGGAGAGUAACUUUGGAGAUCAACUAGCUGCAAAACUUUGAUAGUGGGUUUGGUGUUUUCAAAAGAAAGUGUAUUGCACACAGAUAUUGGCAUUAAAAUGAUACUAUAUCUACAUCAUACAAUACAUAGAAAAUACCACUUUUACCAAUUUAAAUGUAAAGGGUGAAACUCGAAGGGUCCUUGAGCUUUUCUAGGAUCUUGCUCAUUACCCUUGAACAAUAAUAUUUAGUAUGUGCUACAUUUUCAAGCUUAUCUGACUAUUAUUUCAUUCCACUACAUCUCUCAUCUAUUUUACAUAUUUUGGAAUUUUCUUCAUAGUAUAAAUGAUAGAAGUAUUUAUAUUUUGUUCAUUUUAUGAUGUUAAGGAACUUACUGAAGAUUGCAUCCUCUUUGCUUUUUUGAGUUUUUGAGGAAUUGGUGCUGGAGGUAUCUUGAUUGCUAUAUCAAUAUGGUUAGUAAAUUUUCCAUAAACCAUAUUUUCUUAAGAAACUCUAUGAUUAGGUUUGGUACAUAUAUUAGAGUGCGACCUUCAUAGGAAUCAUUCUCUAUAAAAAAAAAUAUCUAGAAGCUUAUGAUCCUCAAAGUUUGUAUUUCUCUUUAUAGGCUUUACUUUAGGCAACUAUUCAUAUGCCUCUUUGAUUUUCUAUUUUGAAAGUACUUUAUCUAUGUUUCUUCCACUUCAUAAUAUUAUUACCAUUACUUACUUGGGAUUAGGAUCAGUGUUUCUUAAAAAGCCCACUUAGGUAUUUUAUUUUACGAUCCCCUUAUCUUUUCUACUUUCUACUAAAGUUUCCUAAACUACAACUCUUGAUAUUUCAUAUCUAUGACCAUCUUUGCUUAAUAAGUGAUAAUUUUUUUAACCAUAUCUUCUAUAGCACUUUGCUAACUACUUGUUUGAUUAUCCAGCAAUAACUAUUAAUCUUGUGGUAUGUACUAUUUCUCAGUAAUUUUUUAAUUCUGGCCUUAAUUUUUAUUUCAUGAAAAAUUGGGGUAGUUUAACGUAACAAUCCUUUUAAUCAUUAUGAGUUAUUUAAUAGUACAAAAAAGUUGAGUUUUUUCUUGAGCUAAAAGUUAAAAACUUUAGGCUAUGCUAGUCUUGGAUAAAAUGCUAAUGAGAUAUGGUCUAUGGAAAUAUGAGAGUGGAUUAGGUAAAUGUAAUAAAGUUUAACUUAAUUUUAUGUUAGCUAUGGAAAUAAGGAACCCGUAGAACAUUUUGGAGGUGAAUUUAGGUGAAUGUAUUUACCGAUAUAAAACUUAAUGCAAAGCGGUUAGUUUGGGAUGUCAUGAUUUGAGGGUGCAUUACAAAAAAUAUAACAAUAUUAGUGUUUUUGAGUUUCUACCUCACCACAGCCUCUAUAGAAAGUGGCAGGCUUCUAGGGGACUGUCACUAUAGUGGGAAAAUACCCACUAUAUCGGGAUUUGAUGAUGGUCACUACCACUAUAUCAAGUGAAAUCCGCUACAACGAUAUUGUUAUAGCGGGAUCAUGCUGGUAUAGCUGCAUAAAUCAUUGUUUAAGUAGAAAUUUUUCUAAAAAUAAUAUAUUAUUUCUUAACACAUUUUGGGGAAGGCACAAGCAAUUUGGGGAAAGAUUUACCUAUUUUGCACUAGAAAAUAUUUAUAAAGGUAAGUUACUUAUCCAUAUUCACUUAUUUUUCGAUUCCUUAACUUGAGCAUCACUAGUUUAUGGAUCUUUCAUAGAGUUUAACUUAACCAAGAUAUAUUUUCUGGUAUAAAGGGAUAAAUUUGGUGUAAAACCUUUGUGUUAUAAUUCAAGGUUGAUUAUUUUUUUAUGAUUAUACUUCACUAAUAUAACCAUAAAAUGGGUAAUUUUAAGGUGCAUUUUUUUUUUGAAAAAAUACCUAGAAUGGGUGGUAUGAUGAUAAUUAUCCAUGGGGUUUGUAAUUAGGUUAUAAUUCUCAAUGUUAUUUGUCAUUUUGUUGAUUUGGUUUUACAUUCAUAUUUCUAGACCACAAUUAAGUGGAAAUUGAAAGGAAAGUGAAAAUUCAGGUUCAGCAAAGUAUUUCAAGCUUGGCUUGAGGUAGGUGAUGGCUUUAAUGUAGUUGGAACCUAAUUUGUUUCAUUUGUACAUGCUAACUAUUUCUUAAUAUUUCUUUUGCAAUGUAUGUUCAAGGAAGUAAUGGUUGUUUGAUUUUCUAAGUAUUAAUUACAUAUAAUUAACUUUUAUAAAAAAUAUGUUGGUUGUUACAAAUAUCAUUUUGUAUUCAUUUUGGUUGUGGUUGUUGUAAUGUCUAUCAUCAUUAUGAGAUGUACCAAUAACUAUACAUAUUCAAAUAAGUGGUUGGUGUAAGGUUGCACUUGAUGUCUGAGAUUUGGUACAUGGUCAAGGGUUUAUGCGAGACCUCAUAAAACUUUGAUCAUUUUAUUUUUAACAUUUCAGUGUGCAUAAUGUCAAUUUUUAACUUGAACUGUGUUUAGGGGUGUUAAAAAGGUGCUUGGGGGAAGUUUCAGAUUAUUCAAAAGAGGUUUGAGGUUAUUUUGGGACCUCGAGGUGGUUAGGAUCUGUGAUAAGACCGUGUUACGGGUGUUAAGUUCUGCGAUAUCAGCAUGGGACGAAAGCUAUCCUCUGCGAUAACGACAUACCACACUAAUCUGUUAAUUUUAUGCAGUUUUUUUCACAUAGGUGAGGGGAUUUUUAUCUUUAUAUCCCUUGUACGACCUUUAAAUAUAAAAUAAACCUCUUCUAUUUAGUUUUCAAAGACCAAAUCAUCCAUUCUCUUAAAACACAAAACUCAAGAACAUUAAAGGCUUCAUACUACAUUCAUCAUCCAUGCUCCAAACAUCAAAUUGACUUCAAUUUUUUGUAUGUUUCAAGCAUAUUUCUUUUCUAAACUUUAAUUUUACACUAUGGAAUUAAUUUAAUGGAUUUUAUGUGAUUUAAAUUAUGAGUUUGAAACUAGAUUAAGGGUUUUGGGUUGUUACUAAUUUAAUUACAUAUCCCAUGCUUUGAACUGAUUAUUAAGUUGAUGUUUUGGGGAUUGGAUUGGUACAUUAUUUAAAUAGUUGGAAUGGGAGACAUAGGUUUCCCCAAAUUGGAUGAAUUUUAGCUUAGAAUUGCAUGAACCUCAAUCCACUUUGUAUAUUUGAUUUUUAAUAUGAAAAAUUGCACUGUUUAACUUAUUUUUAAACUCAAUACAUUGAAUUAAUGGAUAAUGGAUAUAAUGAUGCAUUUGAAUGGACUUGGUAGUCAUUGUUUAGAUUUUAAUUGAACUUAGGAGUCCAAUAUAGUUGUGCGGAUUGGUUUGAAAUGUUUAAUUUAGCUUGCAAGCAUAUUGGUUUGAUGAUACCAAGUGGUAAAUACCUUAAUGAAUGAAUCCUGGGCUAAUGGUUAGAAUUAUGUGCAAAGUGAUUUUAAUUUAGGUUUAAAAGGGAUAAUGUAUCUUUUUGUGAAGGUGUAUGUUCCAAGGGAAUAAAUACUAGAUAUCAUGUUCGCUGGUGUUGGGGGUUUAUAUGACUUUGUGAUUGAUACACACUUAAUAUAUAUAUAAAAUAUAUAUAUAUAUAUAUAUAUAUAUAUAUAUAUAUAUAUACUUGGGAUGGCUAUUUCCCAUGGUUUCUUUAGUUUUCCCUUUAUUUUUCCUUAGUUUGUACGUACAACUAACAAGCAUUGGGGCCCUGUUAAUAGAGAGAGUUGAACCCAUAUAGCCCACGGGUGUUUUUAGGAUGGAUCGAGCUAUACAGUCCAUAUUAAUGGUUUUAAAACUCUUAUGUUCCGGACCCAUACCCUAUCCUAGAAUCUUAUAUAUGUAUAUAUGAAUGUGUUUAUAUAGCUUUGAAUGAUUUUGGACAUGACAUUAGUUUAUCACCUUUCUUGAUUUAUAUUCCAGUGCUUAUCCCACUGGCUAUCUUUGGAUGCUAAAUCUUUUUAUGAUGCACGGUUUGGAGACUUUUCUGUUGCUCUUGUGUAAUGUUAGGUAGUUGAGCACGUCUAUUAAGUUUCUAUGAAGUGGUAAGCCUCCAUCUUUUUGAAUGCCUUGUCAUUUUAUUAAUCUUUCUUUGCUGACUUAGUACUGUUGUAUUUAUUUAUUUUUAUCAUAGUUGGGGGCAUGUCUUGACAUAGAUACUAUUCUUGUUUUAAAGGCUUUUGUGGACAAGUGUAGGUUGGUUAUUGUUUUGACUCUUAGUUUUCAUUUGAGUUAUCUAUUCAUCCUUUUACUACUAUGUUAUUGGCUUCUGCUUUAUUUUAAUUAUUAUUUUCUUGAGGUUAGAAUAAGAAGGUGGUCUCCAUUCUAUAAUAGGCUUGAGAUAUCCAUCAUGACUAGUCACUGGAUUGAGUCGUGAAAAGCUUGGUAUCAGAGAACGAUUUAGAGUCAUUAGGUGUCCAUAAAAUCAUUUUGAAUAGAGUUAUUUUUAUGUCUUUGUAGACCACCACACUGAUAAAUAGGAGGAUACAAAGCAUUUAGGAGUGUUUCCCUUUUUGUGUUCUAUGUUACAUUAAAAAGUCUAGUGUUAUGAAACUUCUCUAACUUCUAGCUCUCUCGUAUUUCAGAUCAUGCCUCGCUGAAGAUUUGGUGUUUGUAUAAGGUCUCUAGGUAAUCUAUUCUACUUAAGGAGAAUGUGGAGGGGACUUACCCUACUUUUAGAGUGAAGACCCGAUCUAAGAUCCCUACUCCUGAUUUUGUUGCUCUGUGUGGAGUUCUACCUGUCCCCUUAAGUCUUUCUCAAUUUUCCCAUGUCGGUGAUAUUUAUGCUCAGUCAGCUCAAAGUGAUAUCUCUAAUGCAGAGUUUCAUCAGUCUAUUCAUAGUCUUACUCAAUUAGUGGCAUCUCAGUGUCAUCAGUCUGACCUUGUUAGUAAUGUUCAUUCAUCUAAGUUCACUCAGGUUGGCUAGUUUAUGAGGUUGAAUCCCCCAACCUUUACAGGCUUCUAAGGUUAAGGAGGAUCCGCAGGGGUUCAUUGAUAAGAUGGAGAAAAACUUUAGGGUGAUGCAUGUUACUAAUAUAAAAGUCAUAGAGUUUGUUUCAUAUCAAUUCUAAGAUGUAACUUAUAAGUAGUAUGAUGAGUGGAAAGAUAUAAGGGGUGAUGAUGCUGAGAAGGUUGUAUGGGAUGAAUUUUUUGGUACCUUCCUGGAUUAUUUCUUUCCUCAGGAGUUAAGGGAAGCUAAGGCGGAGGAGUUUGUUAAUUUGAAGCAGGGUAAGAUUAGUGCCAAUGAGUGUACUUUGACAUUUUAAUAGUUGGUUCCAUAUACUUCAUAGUUGCUAUCAAACAUAAGAUCUAAGAUAAGAAAGUUUGUUUCUGGGUUGUCCCAUGACUUGGUAUUAGAGUGUAAGGUUGUAACAUUAAACAAUGAUAUCGAUAUCUCCAAACUUAUAGUAUAUAUGCAGUAAGUAAAGGAUGAUAAAAGAAACAGACAGAGAUGGAAGGGAGAAAGAAUAAGAACUUUAGAUAUUCAGAGUUGGGUGGUGGUCAGAAUAAUUAUGGAAAGAUGAUAGAAAAUGGAAAAGUAAGAAGAAUUAGGUAAAUUGAUAUUCAUCUACAUGUGCCCCUUAUCCUAAGCCUUCGGGUGAUUAUCAUUUUUAGACUAGGAACGGUCCUAAGGCACAGGGUACCUAGUCUCAGGCUUAUGGAGCUCAGUCAGUCCCACCUUAUCCUCUUUGUCAUUUUAGUGGACAUCUUCUUUGUGAUUAUUAUGAGGGGGGAAUAAAUAAUUUUAUAAUUGUGGUCAUCUUGGUCACAUACAGUGAGAUUGUCCUUUAUUCAAGGUUGCCACUAGGGCUAAUAAGGUCCUCAUUGCCAUAUUUUUAGCUCAUGUGCCAAAGUGUACUACUUCUGGUACUGCACUUACCAGAAUCAUCUCUAUAAACUCUCUACUCUCCAGGAAUCUGAGAUAUCUCAAGAUAAUUAUAACAGGUAUGUUACAACUCUUUUCUCAUGGAGUUUAUUAUUUUCUAGAUUCAGGUUCAACCAUUUCUUGUGUGACCUCUAAUGUGGCUAUGCAUUUUUGUUUUUGUCCUAAAAAUAUUUCCACCCCUUUCUCUAUGUCUACUCUGAUGGGUAAGUCUAUUAUUGCUAGAAAAUCUUCAGGGGUUGUGUGGUGUUGAUCUUUCAUAGGGAGACAUUAAUUGAAAUUGAUAUUGUACUAUGUGAUGCAAUCUUGGGUAUGGAUUGGCCUCAUUCGUGCUAUGCUUCUCUGGAUUAUAGGACCCAAAAGGUCAGUUUCCAUUUCCUUAAUAAAUAGGUAUUGAAUGGUAAGGGAGUUCCUUUAUACCCAAAGAGAGGUUUAUCUCUUAUCUUAGAGCAUAGAAAUUGAUUUCAAAAGAGCAUCUGUAUCAUCUAGUUCAGUGAAGGAUUUUGACUCUAAAAGUUCUUAUUGGUAAUAUGUCCCCAUGGUUAAUGAAUUUCCUGAAGUAUUUCUCGAUGAUCUUAAAAAAAUUGCUCUUGAUAGGGAAAUAGAUUUUGGGAUUGAACUUCUACUGGAUACUAUCCAAUUUCCAUUCCUUCUUAUAGUAUGGCUUUGGCUAAAUUAAAGAAGCUAAAGUAGGAAUUGUGAGUUUGAUAAGAGCUUUAUUUAUAUUAGUGUUUCUCCGUGGAGUGCACCUGUACUUUUCAUGUGAAAAAAGAUGGGUUCCUUCAGAUGUGUAUAGACUAUCGUUAGUUAAAAAGGUGACAGUAAAGAAUAAAUAUCCUCUUCCUAGGAUUGAUGAUCCCAGCUUUAAGGGACUAGAUGUUUCUCUAAGAUUGAUCUUCGUUCGAGUUAUAAUCAAUUUAAAUUAGGGAGGUUCAUAUUCCUAAGACUUCUUUCUGAAUAGAGUAUAGUCAUUUUGAGUUUUUAGUUAUGUUAUUUGGGUUGAUUGAUGCUCUAGCUACCUUCAUGGAUUUUAUGAACCAGGUGUUCAGACAGUUUUUGGAUUUAUUUGUGUUAUUCAUUGAUGAUAUCUUAGUCUAUUUUAAAAAUGAGUAGGAUCAUGCCAAUCACUUCAAAAUUGUGUUGCAAACCUUUAAGGAUAAAAAAUUGUAUGCAAAAUUUUCUAAGUGUGCAUUUUGGCAAAGUGCUGUGACAUUUCUUGGGCAUGUUGUUUCUACUGAGGGGGCCGAGGUUAAUCCAUAUAAAGUUGAGGUAGAUAAGAAAUGGUAUAAACCUAUGAUUCCAACCGACAUUAGGAGAUUUCUGGGUUUGGGUAGGUAUUAUAGGAGAUUUGUGGAGAGUUUCUCUUCUAUUGAUGCUUCAUUGACAAAGUUAACUCAGAAAAAGGUUAAGUUUUUGUUGUCUAAUUCUUGUGAAGGUAGUUUUUAGAAGUUGAAGGAUAAGUUGACUUCUGUGAUAGUUUUGACCCUUUCUGAGGGUAUUGAUGGUGUUGUUGUUUUUUGUGAUACAUCCUGUGUGGGACUAGGUUGUGUCUUGAUGAUGCAUGGUAAGUUUGUGGCCUAUGCUUCUAGGUAGUUUAAGGUUCAUCUACGGAAUUAUUUGUCUCACGAUUUACAUUUUACGGCUGUGGUUUUGAUUUAAAGAUUUAGCAUUAUUAUGUUUAUGAGAGGCAUGUGGAUAACUAUUAAGAUCAUAAGAGCUGCAAUAUGUAUUUACACAGAAAAAUUUGAAUAUCAGGUAGAGUUGGUGGCUCAAAUUAUUUAAGGAUUAUGACAUAGUCUUGUACUACCAUCAAGGUAAAGCUAAUGUUGUUCCUGAUGCUCAUAGCAGGUUAUCUAUGGGAAGUUUCUCAUAUGUUGAUGAGGAGAAGAGAGAAUUAGUGAAGGACAUUCAUAAAUUGGCUAACUUAGGAGUUUGUCAAAUUAUCUCUUGGUGUUGAGGUGAAGGAGAAAUAGUCUUUGGACCCAUACUUAUGCAGAUUAAGGAAUUUGUGGGUCAGCAAAAGGUUAUGGCUUUUGGUAUUGAGAAAGAUAACUUCUUGAGACAUCAAGGUAGAUUGUGUGUUCCUGAUAUUGAUGGGCUUCCAGAAAGGAUCAUCAUUAAGUCUCAUGAGUCCAGGUAUAUAGUUCAUUUGAGUUUGACUAAGAUGUAUCAUAUUUGAAGAAAUUCUACUUGUGGAACAUAUGAAGUGAGAUAUGGAAAAUUUGGUUGCUAAGCGUAUGAUUUGUCAAUAAGUCAAGAUUGAAUACUUGAGGCCUAGUGGUAUGUUUUAAGAGAUAGAGUCCCCAUGAAGAAGUGGGAGAUGAUUAAUAUGGAUUUUGUUAUAGAUCUUCCACGGUCUCACAAUUAGUAUGAUUAAAUUUGGGUCAUCUGCUUACUUCUUACCUAUGAGGGCAAACUACUCUGGAGAGGAUUAUGCUAAGUUAUUCAUUAAGAGAUUAUGAAGUUACAUGGUGUGCUAUUAUCCAUUAUUUCAGACGAUGUAUGAUGAGGACUGGGAAUGUCACGUAUGAGUUAGAUUUUCCUGCAAGUUUAGCUUUGAUCCAUUCUAUGUUUUAUGUGUCCAUACAAAAAAGUAUAUGGGUGGUCCUUUCUUGAUGGUACCUACUGAGGACAUUGGUGUGAUGGAUUCCUUGUCUGAUGGGGAUGUCUCUAUUGAAAAAUUGGAUUGCAAAGUUCAUAGAUUGAGAAGGAAGGAUGUAGAUUCGGUGAAGGUCAUUUAGAGAAAUCAAAAAGUGGAAGAAGCUACAUCGAAAGAUGAGGAAGAUAUGAAGGCCAAAUACCCAGUCUUGUUCCUCGGGUUGGAUGAAAGUUCUUAAAAUAUGAGUUUCAUUUUCCUCUGCUCACUUUCUGAGCUUGUUAUUUGAUUCUGGUGUAUUCUUGUGCUAAAAGUAUCCUAACUCAUCAUUUGGGGAUGAAUAAUCCUAAGGAGUGAUAAUGUGAGACCUCGUAAAACAUUGAUCAUUUUAUUUUUGACCUUCACAUAUGCCUUAUAUCAUUUUAGACUUGAAUUAUACUUAGGGUGUUAAAAGGGUGUGUGGGGUAAGUUUUAGAUUUUUCAGAAGGUGUUUAGGGUAAUUUUAUAACCCCGAGGUAGUGAGGGUUCGGGAUAAGGCCGUUUCAAGGAAGUUAACUUCUGUGAUAUCAGCGUAGCAUGAAGGCUAACCUCUGCAAUAAUGGUGUACCAUGCCAAUGUGUUAAUUUCAUCCAGUUUUUGUUUUUUCACUUGGAUAAGAGGGUUUGAUUUUUCACCCCUUGUACGACCUUUAAACAUAAAAUAAGCAUCUUUUCUUUAGUUUUAAAGAUUAAAAUUCUCCAUUCUCUCUCAAAACUCAAAACCUAAGAACAUUCAAGGGUUUCACAGUGCAUUCAACAUUUAGGCUCCAAACAUCAUAUUGAUUUCAAUUUUCUAUGUGUUUCAUGCAUGUUUCUCUUUUUUAAACUUUAGUUUUAUAUUCACGCAUUAAUUGAACGGAUUUCAUGUGAUUUAAACUGUGGAUUUUAAAAUUGGGUUAAGGGGUUUUAGUUAUUACAAAUUGAAUUAUGUGCCUCAUGUUGUGAGUUGAUUAUUCAUUCUUUAAAUUGACUUUUUGGAGUUGAAUUGGUACAUUAUUUAAAUAGUUGGAACGGGGGACCUGGGUUCCCCGAAUUGGAUAAAUUUUUGCUUAGAAUUAUAUGAACCUCAACCCACUUUGUAAAUUUGAUUUUUGUUAUGGAAAAUUACAAGGUUUAACUUGCUUUUGAACUCAAUGCAUUGAAUUAAUAGAUAAAUAGAUAUAAAAAUAGAUUUGGAUGGCCUUGGUGGUCAUGGUUUUUAUUUUUAAUGGAACUUAAUAGUCUAGUUUGGUUGUGUGGACUAGUCUGGCAUGUUUAAUUUGGCUUUCAAGCAUAUUGGUAUGACAAUUCCAAGUAGUAAAUGUCUUAAUGAAUGAAUCUAGGGUAAAUAGUUUGAAUUAUGUGCAAAGUGAUUUUAAUUUUGGCUUAAAGAAGGUUGUGUAGCUCUCUGUCAAGGUGUAAGUCCUGGGAGGUUGAACACAAGUAACCACGUUUGUCAAAUUUGAGGGUCUAUAUGACCAUGUGCUUAAUACACACUUGAUAUGGUGGCUUUAGUUUUCCCUUGAUUUUUCCUCGGUUCAUACGGCUAACACGCACUAAGUCUUUUCAACAGGGAGAGAUGAACCUAUAUAGCUGAUGAGUGCCUUAGCAUUGAUUGAGGUACAAGUCCAGGUUAAUGGUUUUAAAACUCUCAUGUUCAUGACCCUUACCAUAUCCCAACAUAUUAUAUAUUUAUAUAUAAAUGUGUGUAUGUGGUUUUGACCGAUUUUGGACAUGGCAUUAUUUUAUUACUUUCCCUGAGUUACAUGUUAAUUCUUAUCCCACUGACCAUCCUAGGAUGCUACAUCAUGAUGUAUGGUCCGAAUAUAUUUUUUGUUGCUCCUGUGUAGUGUUUGGUGGUUGAGCACGUCUGUUGAGUUGUCGUGAAGUGGUGAGCUUCUAUCCUUUGGAAGGCCAUUUCAUUUUAGCAUUCUUUCUUUAUUGAUUUAGUUCUAUUGGAUUUUUAUUUUGGUCAUAGUCGGGGGCAUGUCUUAACUUAGAUGUUAUUUUGGUUUUAGUGGCUAUUGUGGACAAGUGUGGGUUGAUUAUUAUUUUGACUCUUAAUUUUCAUUUGAGUUAUCUAUUCAUCUUCCUACUAUUGUUUGAUUGGUUUCCAGUUUAUUGUAAUUAUUGUGCUUUUGAGUUUAGGCUAAGGGGAUGGUCUUCGAUCCAUGGUGGUCUUGAGAUACCCAUCAUGACAAAGCUCUGUUUUAGAUCGUAACAAUUUAUCCCCUACAGGUCAUGGCUAAUAGGUUACCAUAAGACCCUUAAUAUUUAUGCACAAGGUACAAGAGUGUGAGAGUUCCUUAAGCAAAUCGAGGAUUAUGUGUUUUCUUUUUUAUAUUGGAUUGUUAAGUGAUUCAAUCAUAUGUAUUUUCAUUUUUAUGCUGGUUCCUUGAGUGAAUUGGAUUUAUGUGCUUAAUUACUAAAGAUGUUUUCUUUAUGUAACUCAAGAUACAUGAUAUUGCCAUUAAUACUAUUCUUCUGGAUCCUUAAGUGGUUCCAGCUAAUUACAAGUUGUAGCAUACUUUUUGUUGUCUAUUACAUGUGUAAUUAGGAUAUGCUUUACAUUAUUAUUGUGUCAAAGUUGUAUGACUUAGUGUCUUAUUAGUGGUAAUAGUUUGACUUGACUUAUUAUCCUUGCCACCUUAUAUUGGCUAAGUUCAUGUUAUACUUAUUAUAAGGUUAACUAUAUGAACUUGAGGUAGCAUUGCAUGAUAGGUUUUAUGGUUUUUUGGUUGUUCUGUAUUAUGGUUAUGUAUUCAUAUUUCUCAUUUUGGGUUGGUCGAUGACCCUAUUGGCACAUCAUUGUUUCUUGUAUGGCGAUACUACAAGUGCUCUUCUUUUUUAUGAGUGCAGAGCAUAUUCUAGUUACUAUUCUAAGACCUCAACUGUAAUUUAGACCAUAUUCAAACUCAAGAUUAAGUUACAUCUUUUGGUUACUAUGAGUUUGUCACUCAUUUUUUUGGUCCAUUGUUCAGACUUUAACAUUUCUUUAGUUUUGGGGUUGCACCCCCUUUUUUAUAAUUAUUAGAGUUUUGGUACAAUGACUUUAAGCUUUAUGGGGAUUAAUUAAUGUUUAUUAUUUCUGCAUUUAUCUUCAUUUGAGAUGUUGAAUACUAGUUUAAUUAAUGAGAUUAGUUUAGUUGACUAUUUUUGGCUAAGUAUUGAAUGGUUUACAUGGUUAGUUCAUUCUACUAUCGAGGGUUAGUGCAGGUGCCACUCAUGAUAGGUUUUGUUGUGACAUAGUUUCUAUUAGAUCCUUAGAUUCAUUGAUCACAUUAUACAAAAUAGGUCUAUUAAAGUAUUGCAAAAUUAUAUAGAGAUGUUUGUACUUUUCUUUGAGAUACUAUAACUUUUAGAAAAUAAUCCUUUUAAUCCCAAUUGGUAUUAGUGAUCCAAAUUAGUGUCUGACCUUCUUUAUUCUUUUAUACAUAUAUAUGGAAGACUAGAUCGAAUGAAGCACAAGCAAUAAUCCCAGUACCAACAACUCUAUUUGUGGAACUGACUAUUUAGGGAAAAGGACAAUGAAGGGGCAAGCGGGAAGAGAAAGAGAGAAAAGAAAACUCCCAAGGGUGGCACUCAGGCAUUAGCUAACAAGACCACCAUAGGUUAGUAUCACCUCCCACACCUCAAGAUCAUUUGAGGAGGUUGAUGGAGUGGAUGAGGAUGGCUUAAAACAAAAUAUAACAAUACUAACUAGAGGUGCAACCCUUUUUCUCGUGUCUUCAAGGGUUUUCAACAUGUUUUGGAUUUUUUGAAUGGGUUAGAUAGUACUUGAGCCACUCCCAUUGUGCUAUUUUUCAGGUAUUGGGUACUUAUUCUACUACUGCUUUAUCUUCUAUAGUCGACGAGGUUUCAAGGAUUUAUUCGUUCUCCUAUCUUAUUUUACUCCCCAUCAUGACUAGUAUCAAACAUAAGUUGCUGCCUAAGUUUCUGAAAAUAAAAACCGCUUUAUUUUAUGGUGCUGAGACUGAGGAUGUCUUUGAGAUUGUCAUUGAUUUCUAUGAGAGGCUACAUAAGUUAUGGAUUAUGAAAUAACAUGAUGUUGAGUACGUGACUUUCAAACUACAAAGAAUACCAUGUAGUAGUGGAGAGCCAAUUUGGAGUUUCAGUCACUAAUUACCUCUAUUAACAUAGUGUCAGUUUCAUGCCUAUUUAUUGAGAAGUAUGUAUCAUGUAUUAUUUAUGAUUGCAAGAAGGAUGUUUUCCUGGCACUUGGGUGAGUAGUAUAUCAGUUGCAGCCUAUGAGGCUAAGUUCCAUAUGUUAUCUCAUAAGAAGGAGAGGAUCCAAUUAUUCAUUAAAAAUUUUAACACUGAUCUUCAAGUAUUAUAUACUUAUAUGGCUUCUGCAGGAAAGGGUUUCAAUGAGAUGUAUAAUUAAGUGAAAAAUUUUGAGGGUAUUAAACAAAUUAUCUAGGUGAAGGCAUUAGCCAAGAAGUCCCAAAAUAUGGGCAACUUCGGUGGUUCUUAUUCCAAUGGUCAGAGUGAAUAGGCUUAUCAAGCUUGCCCAAUUCAAUCUAUUUUGCCAGCCUCUAUAAGUGGUCAUUUAGGGGCUAUUCAGUAUCCCUUGGUUGCUAGAGUCUAAGGGGUUUUUUAAUCCUUAUACAACGAGCCUUCUCUUGAGCGAUGCUAUUAUUUUCAUUGUGUUAUAGGUAACUUCAAGAAAGAGUGUAUUUUGAGAUAUAUAGGUAACAUACAUAGCAACAAACCAAGGCUGGGAUUUCAGUAGGUAGAUAUAGAAGUGUUAAUGCUAAGGGUUAUUCAUUGGAGGACAGGGUAUAAUUAGGGAGGUCGUAGAGAAAAUUUGAUGGUAAUACUAGGAAGGGUGGAUUAUAACUUAUUGUAGAGGUUUCCUAGCUUAAUGAUAGAGUUCACAACUAUGCCUUCCCAGUCAUGACUGAGGCUGAGGUGGCUGACGUUGUUAUCACAGGUACUAUGCUAGUUUUUGACUGGAUGGCUCCUAUUUUAUUUGAUCCAAAGUCUUUUUAAUCAUAUGUAUUUGUUACAUUUCUAUUGAGUCUAGGCUUGGCGUGUAAUGUAAUUGGUACUCCUCUUUAUGUUUCUACUCCAUUUUGAUAUUCUGUAUAGUCACCCAUGUAUAUCGUGCAUGUUCUAUUUUGCUCAUAGGAUUAUGGACUUGGGUAUACUUUAUCAUUUUGGACAUUCUUGAUUUUUGUAUCAAUUUGGGUAUGACUUGGUUGUAUCCAUAUCAUAUUGUCUUGAACUGUAAUGGUAAGACAUUGACUCAAGAAAUACCUAGAAGAAAUAAAUUAGAGUGAGAGGAAGCAUAUGAGUCUAAGCCGGUGAGGAUCAUAUCUUUUACUUGGGUUCGAAAGGUAGUAGGGAAAGGGUUUUCAUCCAUCCUAAUUCAUCUUCUAUAUGUUAGUUUAGAGUCCCCUUCUAUUAAGUCAAUUCCUAUGGUUUUAGAGUUUUAGGAGGUAUUUCCUACGAAUUUUCUCGGUAUGUCUUUUACAUGGGAUAUUGAUUUUUGUAUUAACUAACAGUUGGGCACUCACCCAAUUUCUCUUCCUCAUUAUCGUAUGGAUCUGGAAGAGUUAAAAGAACUAAAAAUUCAGUUACUAGAACUACUCAAUAAGGGAUCUAUUCAUCCCAAUGCUUUACUUUGAGAUGCGUCGGUGUUAUUCGUUAAAGAGAAAUGGAAGCAUAAGGAUGUACAUUGCUUGUAAGCAUUUGAACAGGGUUACUAUCAGGAAUAAGUAACCCCUGCCCUGUAUAGAUGAAUUAUUUGAUCAAUUGUAGGGUGGUUCUAUAUUCCCUAAGAUGGACUCGAGUUUGAGUUAUCAUCAGCUGAAAAUUUGGCCUAAUGAUAUACCUAAUAUAUCUUUUAGGAAUCAAUAUGGGCAUUACGAGUUCUUAGUCUUUUAGGUUGACAAAUGCACUAACAAACUUCAUGAUCUUAAUGAAUUAUAUUUUCCAAGUCUUUCUUAGGUUAUUUUGUGACAAAUUUUAUUGAUGACAUUUGGUUUACUCCAAGAGCAAGGAGGAGCAUAUAUGUGAUCUUUGUAAUUUUUUUGGGAAUUUUGAAGGAAAAGUAGUUGUAUGCAAAUUCUACAAAUAUGAGUUAUGAUUCUCUUUGCUUGACUUCUUAGUGCAUGUGGUCUUGGAAAAGGGGAUGAUGGUAGAUUUCCAGAAGAUUAAAGCAGUUAGGAGUUUGGUUCGACCUAGCUUUAUAACUGAGGUUAGGAGAUUCGUAGGUCUUGCUAGUUAUUGUCGUAGGAUUGUCAUGAAUUUUUCUUCUAUUGAUACUCACUUGACAAGGUUGACUCAUAAUGAGGUAUCAUUUAUAUGGUUGGAUAACUGUGAGGAAUGAUUCUAAAAGCUUAAGAGAUUUUUUACUACAACUCUUAUUCAUUCGUUACCAGUUGAAGACAAGGAUUUUAUGGUAUAUUGUAAUGCUUCACUCCAGGGUUUAAGUAUUAUGGUUAUGUAGGACAGGAAUACAAUUGUUUAUGCUUUAAUUCAGUUAAAGACUCAUGAAAAAAAUCACCCAACUAAUUACUUGAAGAUGGCAGGUGGUAUUUGCACUUAAUACUUGGAGACACUACCUUUAUGAUGUUAACUGUGAGGUAUUCACAUACCAUAAUAGAAGUAUGUGUUCACACAAACGGAUUUGAAUUUUAUUCAAAAGAGAUGAAUGGUACUGUUGAAAGAAUAAGAUGUGGCGAUCCAGUAUAUUUCGAGUAAGGCCAAUGUGGUGAAAGACGCAUUGAUACAAAAAAGGUAAAUAUAGGCAGUUUGACCGGUUUGAGGGUUUCAAGGAGACUUUUGGAUAGGAAGUUUCAAGCUCUAACAUCUUGGUUUAUGCAGUUUAGCGUUUCAUGAAGGGGUUGAGAAUUGACUAGUGUUGAGGUAAAGUCAAUAUUCCUUAAUAUCAUAAAGGUUAAAUAGUUUAAGUAUAGGAAUUUGAAUAGACCCCAUAACAACGUGGUGUUUGGUAAGGCUUCAUAUGCCAUACUUGACAUGGACGGAGUAUGGUGGCUUAGAAGGCAAGUCUGUGUUUCUUGAAUUGGUGAUUUGAUUUAGAAUGUGCUUGCUGAAGCUUUUGGCUCGCUAUAUUUUUUUUUCAUCCAGAUGUAACCAAGCUAUAUUAUGAUUUGAGAAAGCUUUAUUUGUGGCUUGAGAUGAAAAGGGACACAAUAGAGUAUGUAUCCAAAUGUCACACUAUCAAUAGGUAAAGUGCGAGCAUCAAAGGACUGCGGGUUUGAUCCUAGGGAUACCAUUCCGUAGUUAAAGUGGGAGCAGAUAGCUAUAGAUUUGUGGCAGGUCUUUCUAAGAUAAUAACAAAGCAUGAAUUGAUUUUAUUUAUAGUGUAUAGGUUGACUAAUCAGCCCAUUUAAUUUUGAUAAGUGUGGAUAUCAUGUCAAAGAAGUUGGCCAAUAUCUAUGUCAAAGAGCUAGAGAGUCUACUUAGGGUACCCUUACCAUCAUUUUAGAUAGAGGUAUGCAAUUUGCUUUUAAAUUUUGGUAUAAUUUUCUUGAAGAAUUGGUAACUUAACUCACUUCAGGCACAACUGUUUAUCCUCAGAAUGAUAGACAGGCCGAGAGGAUAAUUCAGGUGCUUGAGGAAAUAUUAACGGCAUAUGGGUCACGCUCCUAGAUAAAAAGGGCAUUGAAAGAAUGGGAGAAUGAUCGAUAUGAAUACUUGUUAACAAAUGACAUGCAUUAAGCUAAUGAUCCAUUAUUCAUAAGGCAAUUACAAGAGUGGUUCAUAAGCAGCAUUGACCAAAUGGUCACACUAAUAUAGUACACAAUUAAAUUUAUGAUUACAUAUGAUAAAAUUACAGUUUUUAUGAAACCUCAAAUAAUAUUUUUAAUUACACAAUAAUGAAUGGUCAGGAUAGGUCUCGAGACACUUAAGCAAUAACUCUAACUAUGAAUUGAGGAGUGCUACACAUCUAUUACCUCCAGAUGAUCGAACAACUCACCAACUGCUAUGCUGAAUAGAAAUGAUUGCUUAAUAUAAAAAUCUACUAUUGGGUGUACCUGAUCCUAAAUAUACAAAGGUGUGGCACCCCAAAUACAAGAUGUACUAGUACAUAAAGCAAAUUGAAUAACAAGUAGACAUAUAAAGAUGCUUAGUAGAUUGAAUGAUAACAUGAGAAAUUAUGGACAGCUAAAUACUAGAAACUCUCAUCUUGACUAUAGUUGAGGAGAUACAAGUGACUAAUACACAAUAUAAAAUAUAACCUUUGAAUUUGUCUUAUUAUCUCAUCGUGUAACAUCUUAUGAGUAAUUCAUCAUUACGAAGCUCCUAGUAAUUUGUGUAGGUGAUGUCUUAUGCCUACUUUUAAUUCAAACAAUCAUAUAAUUGCCUACCAUAGGCAAUCUAGAUAAACUGCAAACCAUAUGUUUCUCAAAUACCAAUCGAUUUGAUUUGAAACAUAUAACUGUAAUUACAGUAUAAUACAAGGUAUGUCCCCAUGUGCUCACUAUGAGGGUCUAUCCGAAGGCCAUAUGUGUCAUAUAUCAGCUUGAGUCAGAAAACCUAGUGCAUGACGUUCUACCUGACCCCAAAUAAAAAUGAUGCCACAAGGGCGGGUACACUAUAAUGUUCGGGAUCAUAAUAACGAUUAGAUCCCAAUUUUAUGCAUAAAAUCACAUUGAACAUGUGUUCUAAGCCAUACCUAUGAAUACGCUUCCAUAGUUAACUUUUAUCAAGUAGUGCCUUAUAGGUCUACACAAGUAUAUUAUGAUAAAUACUUUUUAUCCAUUCAAGUAAUGCUUUCUAUAUAAAACUACAUUUAUCCAUUUAAGUAGUGUUUACCAUAUAAACCUAAAUUCUUUGAUAGCAUCAUGCUAUUUAAACACCAGUUUCAUAUAUCAUUAAAUGACUAUAUCGCUAUAUGGCCCAAUUUACUAGACCGAUUAUAGUAUGGCCAUUUAUUCUAACAUAUAGCAUGUGAUUUAUAUACCAUAUAAAUUCUAUGAAUUUUUUAUGAACACGAAUACAAUCCUGUAUAACACUAUAAAUACUUGACUCGACAAGAGUAAUAUGAAUACUAUGACAUCAAUAAAUAAACGCAUGAAAGGUGGAAACAAAUAAUUUCAAAUGAAAAGAAUGUGUGGAUAUUGUGGCCACAUCAGGCAUAUAUACAUGUGUUGGACACAUAGAAAGUGAAGAUUCUGUUCAAAUAUAUCAAGUAGACUAUGUACGCUCUUUUUUAAAAUACAAGUCAUUAUGGGUCUUGCCUUAACGGCGAAGGUGGGUUAAGCUUUACAUACCUUUGGUUCUUCCUAUCUAACUCCACAUUUAUGAUCCCGAGAAUCCUAAUCUCAACCGGCACUUAAAGCCUUGACAUGAAAACUCUAAUAAUCUAUUAUCCAAGUAGAUUGAUGACAUUAUAAUGUGCAAUAUGAUUAGCUAUCCAUAGAAAUUAAAAUCAAAAAGUCAAUCACAUAUUCCAUAAAAUAUGUAUCACUGUCUUCCUACACUUAUUUGAUCAAGUACUUACACAAAUGUAAUGACACCAUAGAUAUGAAAACAAAAAGACCAUAUAAGAUUUAGUCUUUUCUAUAUAGUAGAAGAGAUGGUUUCGACACCUCUGCUACAUGAAAUUACCAAAAAGAUAUAAGAAAAAUUUGGACUUUAAAUAUAUGGGUUGCUAAAAAUAAUUAUACUUUCUAUUGUGUAAUGUGUAUUCUAUUAAAGUCUUUAAAAAAUUCCCACCUUCUUACAUUUAAUCACAGACCAUGCCACUAUAAAAAGCUCACCUACUUCUACUUAAUUACAUACCAUGCCCCAAAUAUAAAAUGAUUCCAUUGUUCCAUUAUAAUGGUUUAAAUAUUUAAUAUAUUCUAUUAAUUUAUAUUUAAUAACUUUAACUAUAUAUUUGAAAUAAAAAAAUUAUUUAUUUAAUAGGCUAUCAUGUUCAAAAAUAAUUUGUUUAUAUUUAUUUUAAUAAAUUAAAGAAGAUUUAUUAUUUUUGUCUUAUAUAGAAAUACCAAAUUUAUUAUUGUGAGAGAUAAACAUAAUGCAAUAUCCAAUAAUGUUUAAUAAUACAUAUUUUGUAUAUGAAAAAUAUAGCAUUCCGUAUUUAAUUAAUAUACUACUCGAGUGAGUUAUCAAUGAUUAAUAAUAUUUAAUAAAAAAUAAAAUAGACAUAAAAUCUGAAAUUAACUCUUGAUGUUUUAAAUUAAAUUGUCGUCUUUCAAACGAUGAUUUUACUAUGCCACCCCUUAUAAUAAGUCAUUUAUGUAUUAUAAAAUUAAGAAUAACAAAAUGAUAUGUCAACAUAAGAAAUUUGAUUGACUAUCAAAAUUUUAUUAGUGUCGUAUAAUUUAGGACGGGAUAGAGGAAGUUAUAAAGCAACAUAUAUUAUUUGAAAAAUGAAAUAACAAUAAUUAACAAAAAUAUUCUAAAAAUUAACUUGUUGCCAAAAUUUUAUCCGUGCAUAUCUUAUUGAAAAAUUAUGUAAAAAAGUAUUAUAAAUCAGAUAAUUAACAUCUUUAAAAAUUUAAAAAUAUAAAAUAUUUGGAUGACUCUCAAAAUUAUAUCAUUGUUUAUUAAAUUAAAAUAGAAGAAAAAGUAGUAUAAAUCACAGGCUGCUUGCUCCAUGAUUUUACUAUAUCGCCCUUAACGAAUUAUUAUAAACUAUUAUAUAUUUAAAAAAUUAGUAAUAUUUAAUUAAAAAAUAAAAUAGACAUUUAUGACAUGUCUGCUUCAGCUGCUUUAAUCAUGAUUUUACUGUAUCAUCCCUGAUUAAUAAUUAUAAGUCGUUUAUGUAUUGAAAAAUUAAUAAUGUUGAAAAUGUGAUAUUACUAUAUCACCCAUAAUUAAUUAUUAUGAGUUAUUUAUGUAUUAAAUAUAAAUAAUAUUUAAUUAUAAAAAAAUAAAAUAAACAUUUAUGACAUGUCUGAUUCAGCUGUUUCAAUCGUGAUUUUAUUAUAUCACUCCUAAUUAAUUGUUAUAAGUCAAUUAUGUAUUAAAAAUUAAUAAUAUUUAAUUAAAAAAAGUAAAAUAGACAUUUAUGACAUAUCUGCUUCAGCUGCUUCAGUCAUAGUUUUACAAAAUAUCACUCCUAAUUAAUUAUUAUAAGUCAUUUAAGUAUUAAAAAAUUAAUAAUAUUUAAUAAAAAAUCAAAUCGAUAUAAAACUGAUAAAUUAACUCUUGAUGUUUUAAAUUAACUUAACGUCUUAUAUAAGGUCUACUUAAAUUUUUUUCACAAGUAUUUUUUAUAGUAAUUUUGCUAUGUCAUUUCUAAUUAGUUGUUGUAAAUCAUUUAAUACAUUUAUGCUUUGUUGCUUCAGUCGUGAUUUUACUAUAUAACCCUUAAUUAAUUAUUAUGGUCACUUAAGUAGUGUGCCACUUAAAUUUAAAUAGAAAAAAUAUCACAAAUCACAAUGAUUAAAAAUUUAAAUUAUUUAAAAACUAUAAUUGGCUACCGUUGACACAACACUUUGGACAAGAAAAGUAACAUAUAUUAUUCAAAAAUUACAUCAAAAGUAUUAUAAAUUACAAUAGUUAAUAAGUUAAAAUAUCUAAAAAUAAUUUAAUCUGUUAUAUAUUUAAAAAAAAAACAUAAAAAAUACUAGAAAUCACAAUAAUUAAUAACUUAAAAAAUUUAAAAGAUAUAAAAUAUUUGGUCUACUCUCGAAAUUAUAUUAGUGUCACUUAAAGUGGAAUACAAGAAAAGUAUUAUAAAUCACAAUAAUUAAAAACUUAAAUUAUUUUUAAAAUAUAAUUGACUAUCAAUGCCAUAAAGAUUUGGAGAAGAAAAGUAAUGCAUAUUAAUUUAAAAAUUACAUAAAAAAUAUUAUAAAUUACAAUAGUUAACCACUGAAAUUAUCUAAAUACAUAUUAAAAUAACAUAUGCUGAACACAUGCUAGAUUCCGGAUGAAUCUUAGAAAACAUAUCCAUUCCUUUUAUUAAAAAAUUUUAUUUAAAUAUAUCAAGAUUGAAAAGAUAAAUAAAUAUCUUAAUAUCGAGCCCGUGCUGAAACGGGUCAUGCUCCUCUUAUAUAUAAUAGGUACAAUAGUAUACGAAUGGACAAUAUUUCUAUGUGAUAUACGGUUUGGGUUAAAACCCAAAAUCAUAUUUUGACUAAUAUAAAGUAGAUUUCUAAUAUGACAAAUAACAUAAGAAUUUAUGGGACGUGAUUUGUUUCCAAGCUUGACAUGAAACUACUGUAGGUUUUCAAGAAAUUUCAAAAAAAAUCAUGCUUAGCUUCAUAAUAUAAUAAGGACUGACUAUAUGCACUACAAACAUAAAUAGAUGUAAUAUAUUGGAGGAAGAGCUUACCGUAGCUGUUGGAGGAGCUAGAGAGAAAUUUUAUCCUUGAUUUUUGAAGAAGAACUCAAGUAAGGGCUUAUGUAAUGUAAGGAGGUAAAAGGGUGAAGCUAAUGACUUCUCCAGAUCGGCUAUGGAACAAUCUCUCUCUCUCCC